Molecule: long non-coding RNA, 816 nt
Organism: Calidris pugnax (ruff)
Lineage: Eukaryota; Metazoa; Chordata; Aves; Charadriiformes; Scolopacidae
Exons: 4
Source: RefSeq, a predicted model, not a curated record
GCAGAAACUUGAGAGAAAAUGUGGGCUAGGAAUGGCCAGGGGUAACUGCAUAGGGUCUGGAUGUCACUGUGCUGAAGACAAAGGUGACUCGUGUCCUCACGUGAUGACACCGUCAGACAGACUGACAGACAGAGGGGAAGCAUCGUGGUGUGAUCUGGGAUUCACAGACAGCUCAAGCCUCAUCACUAAGCAUAAUCUCAAUAUUGGGAGAACCGUGAAUGCUGUUCAACCUGUAUUAUUCAAUUUCCCUCUCACCUAAAGUAAAGCUGUUUGGAUCCAUAUGAAGCUUCUCAAAACAGGUCCCACCCUGAUCUAGUGAUCUCAGCACCACCGCCAGGUUCUUUAUUUACAGACACGGUACUGCAUCUAACUGAAAAAGUGAAGCAUUUGUGAGUAUCAGUCCAGUGAUUUCUCCACCAGGGACCCAAAAAACAGAGCCCAGCACAGACCAAACACUGCACAUAACUAGGCAAGCAAAUGGAGGCUGGGUUGCUAUGUUACAGGAAGAGUGAUUUGGUCCUGAUUUCCAACUUUUUAAAGGCAUGUUUGGCUACUGCAGUGAAACACGCUAGCCUGAAUGCUGCAAUGUUUCUGUCACUCUCUACAGCGAACCCAGAAUUCCGGGUGUUACAGCCUGCCUGAAAGUGGCACUCUCCUCCAGACAUAAAAGCAUUGACGGUUAAAAAUCUGUUUGGAAGUUCCCAGGCAUGCUCAUGGAAGAGAAGUCCUGACAGCUCCAGUAUUCAGCAUAAUACAAAACUCAUGGCAUCCUCACCCCGAGGAGCUUCUACCUGCCUAAAAUGGAAGAGCAACAGC